UGGGAUGUGGCUCAGCGGUAGAGCACUCGCCUAGUACGGGAGCGACUCGGGUUCGAUUCUCAGCACCACAU
Molecule: transfer RNA, 71 nt
Filed under: Ictidomys tridecemlineatus (thirteen-lined ground squirrel)
Lineage: Eukaryota; Metazoa; Chordata; Mammalia; Rodentia; Sciuridae
Description: Spermophilus tridecemlineatus (thirteen-lined ground squirrel) tRNA
Rfam family: tRNA
About the family: Transfer RNA (tRNA) molecules are approximately 80 nucleotides in length. Their secondary structure includes four short double-helical elements and three loops (D, anti-codon, and T loops).
Source: Rfam by way of RNAcentral